UAGUAAUAGCUUGUGCUGGUGACUGAGCUAAAAAGAAAAGGCAUUUUUUAAAACAAAACAAACAAACAUGCAUGACCCCAGGGAGCAGGAACUGUAGGGAAGCAGGGGGACAGAGGUCUAUGGGGUCAAUCUACCAGGCUGGGGGCAAUCUUGAGUGUGAAGUUGUUAUGGAGCCAUGUUGCCUGAAUGUGUUGCACCUGUUGGCUCCACACACACCCUGAACAAAUGCUAAUUUAAAUUUGGAGGGGGGGGAAGGGGUAGUGUUUGUCAGAGGUGCUGGAUUUAUGAGAUAAGAACCCCCUUGUUACUGUGUUUGUGCCCGUCGUUUAAUAGACUGAUAUACUUACCGGUUUGUCCUUCCCUCUGAGGCUUAAGCAGCCACUUCCAAAGUCCGUGCCAGAUUCUGAAUGUGGCCAUCUGCUUCCUUGUGGGAAAAUGCUGAGGGCUGUACUCAGGGUAGGGGGGCAGGCGGACCACCCUCAUAGCUACUACAGUAUUUGCAUGAGGAGAAAAUACCCCACUGGAGAGUCUCACACAAUUACUGCUUUACCUGCAGUUACCGCUUCUGCUUUACCUUGCUUUGACCACUCUGAAAUGUUGUGCCAUAGCAUGUUUCAUCAGCCAAAGGCGCUAGGUGAGCCUCUCCGGGGAGAGCCUUCCACAAACGGGGAGCCACUGCAGAAAAGGCCCGUUCUCGUGUUGCUGUCCACCAGACAACGUACAGCAAUGAUUCAGACCUACAUUGCAAAAAAAUAAACAUCCAUUCCUGCGGACCCCAUGACCGCCACCUGCUAACAUAUUGACUGAUGAAGAGGGAACAGGUGCACAGGCAACAGAAAGGUCAUACUCUGCAUAUUUAGGAAGGGCAAUGGAAGAGGACAGAGGCCUCACCUUAGGUGUUCACGCUCAGUAUGAUUUUAGGGAUCACCGAAGUAAGCAACAGCAAAUAUCUGGCACAUUAAACAGUCUUGUGUAUUGCUAAGAGACUGCUGAAUUCUCUCUAUAAGAAACCUUCUUUCAAGUCUAUCUGCUUAUCCCAUAUGCUCUUCAGCUUGUGCACUUGCUUUUCCUCUACAGUGUAAUAAAAAUCAUUUUGGAUAUUA
Podarcis muralis (Common wall lizard) is the source of this 1103-nucleotide long non-coding RNA. RefSeq lists it as uncharacterized. NCBI's taxonomy places the organism in Eukaryota, Metazoa, Chordata, Lepidosauria, Squamata, Lacertidae. The record is from RefSeq and is a predicted model, not a curated record.